AAUUGACUUCUUAACUUAUCCAAAAUGUCUUGAACCAAAUCUAGAGACUCUUAACCAUAAAUUUACAAGAUUUUCACUGAAACACUAGAUUGAAUUCAUUAGUAAACAUAAGAUAUACUCAAAUGCUUUGAGCUCAUCAAAAUCAAAUAGGGUUAUAAUCAAUCACUCCACAAUCUCCCUCUUUUUGAUGAUGACAAAACAUUGAGUAUAUGUAAAGUGAAUUGCUCAAUAAACAAGGAAAUUUAUAAUAAAAUUUUAAAAUGAAUUCAAGUGUCUGGUUAUUUAAUUUAUCCA
This 294-nucleotide long non-coding RNA is filed under the name Phoenix dactylifera (date palm). RNAcentral's name for it is "long non-coding RNA (PDAC_LNC016155)". The record is from RNAcentral. Lineage: Eukaryota; Viridiplantae; Streptophyta; Magnoliopsida; Arecales; Arecaceae.